CCGGGGCGUGGCCUCCCGCAGGUGAGUACGCUGCUCCUUCGGUUUCCCUGAAACCUAACCCGCCCUGGGGAGGCGCGCAGCAGAGGCUCCGAUUCGGGGCAGGUGAGAGGCUGACUUUCUCUCGGUGCGUCCAGUGGAGCUCUGAGUUUCGAAUCGGCGGCGGCGGAUUCCCCGCGCGCCCGGCGUCGGGGCUUCCAGGAGGAUGCGGAGCCCCAGCGCGGCGUGGCUGCUGGGGGCCGCCAUCCUGCUAGCAGCCUCUCUCUCCUGCAGUGGCACCAUCCAAGGUGAGAA
RNAcentral lists this long non-coding RNA (291 nucleotides) under Homo sapiens (human). RNAcentral describes it as "long non-coding RNA NONHSAT102251.2". Lineage: Eukaryota; Metazoa; Chordata; Mammalia; Primates; Hominidae. The record is from RNAcentral.